Rhipicephalus sanguineus (brown dog tick) is the source of this 543-nucleotide long non-coding RNA. RefSeq lists it as uncharacterized. NCBI's taxonomy places the organism in Eukaryota, Metazoa, Arthropoda, Arachnida, Ixodida, Ixodidae. The transcript is spliced from 3 exons. The record is from RefSeq and is a predicted model, not a curated record.
CCCUCUUUGCUCGUGAAGCGUGGACUCGCUGGUGUACAGCGCAUGUCUUUUAUAAAUACGCACUUGUCAUUGCGUGCGCUUGUGCUGUGAAAUACUUGUCACACGAGACCGACGGCGCUGCUGCGCCUUGUGAUGCCAGAACAAGUCUAGCGAAGACAAAAAGCUUUUCACGAUACUGUCCGGCAAGUGCCACGAGUGUCGAAGACUUGGUCACAGAAUCGGAAGGGAGUACUUCAAGCAGACAUUUUCGACUCUCCUUUGCGAGGAUAAGGGGAUGGCCGCAAGACGAACCCAGUGUUGCGCAAGGUGCCUGUGCUGAUGGCUGGUGCGUUACUGCCAGGUGCUCCUGGGUGUGGCAGGUGCGGCUGGCUUGACAGAACUGCAGACCGACACUGCGGUCCGGGACAACAGAGAUGGCCAUCUCCCACAGAAUUCCCUGCCGCAGUGCCAAAACCUGGAAGCUAGCACCUGGGACACUGAGGCGUGCACUUACCAGACGUGUACUCCUGUGCACUUCCUUUCAUUGCCAAUGUAGUCAACGUG